UUUAAAACUCCAGAGAGGUCCCGUUUCUCUCGCGGCUCACCUCCUCCCUCUCCCGCUCCUAUACAAAUAGUAAUUUUCUUGGAACAGCAACUGGUGUGGUGCCAUGAACAGCUAAAUGCUUCACCGGGGCUCUGGAUGAGGCUGGCAAUGACGAUUAAGUAUGCUUGAGGGGCCCAAGCAACAAUGGAAAUGAGGGCCCCUGAUUAACCGGAAGGUUCCCUAACCUCUGGUGGUGAAAGUGAUGAUGAAAGCAACCAAGAAAGCCCAGCAGAAGCCUAUUACGGGGCUGGAGCUCCCUCUGGAGGAAGCCAGCCAUCAUGUAGUGAGGACAUUCAAUCAAGUAGCAGGUGGACAGGCCCAUGCAGGGAGGAAAGGAGGCCUCCCACUAACAACCAGCACCACCCUGGCAGCCAGGUAAGGGAGUGAUCCAUCUUGGAAGUGGACCCUGCAGCCUCAGUCCAGCCAUCAGAUGACUGCAGCCCUGGCCGAUAUCUUGAGGACCUCGUGAGAGACCCAGAGCCAGAACUGCCCAAGAUAUUCCCCUAAAGGCUUGACUCAGAAAUUGUGAGGAAUAAAUGUUUAUUGUUGUUUUGAGCCAC
This is a long non-coding RNA of Balaenoptera acutorostrata (minke whale), 599 nucleotides long. RefSeq lists it as uncharacterized. The record is from RefSeq and is a predicted model, not a curated record. The transcript has 3 exons. Lineage: Eukaryota; Metazoa; Chordata; Mammalia; Artiodactyla; Balaenopteridae.